CUGCAAGCGUUAUUCGGAUUCACUGGGCGUAAAGGGUGCGCAGGCGGCCGUGUGUGUGAGGCGUGAAAGCCUGGAGCUUAACUCCAGAAUUGCACCUCAAACUACAUGGCUAGAGCAUUGGAGAGGGUAGCAGAAUUCAUGGUGUAGCAGUGAAAUGCGUAGAUAUCAUGAGGAAUACCAGAGGCGAAGGCGGCUACCUGGACAAUUGCUGACGCUCAGGCACGAAAGCGUGGGGAGCAAAAGGGAUUAGAUACCCCUGUAGUCCACGCCCUAAACGGUGCACACUAGGUCUUGGCGGAUUCGACCCCACCAGGGCCCAAGCUAACGCGUUAAGUGUGCCGCCUGAGGACUACGGUCGCAAGACUA
RNAcentral lists this ribosomal RNA (366 nucleotides) under uncultured bacterium. RNAcentral's name for it is "bacterial SSU rRNA". It matches the Rfam family "Bacterial small subunit ribosomal RNA", at positions 532 to 896 of the family's 1533-position model. The record is from RNAcentral.